GGUUAGAUGGCCGAGUUGGUCUAAGGCGCCGCGUUAAGGCCGCGGUCUCUUCGGGGGCGUGGGUUCAAAUCCCACUCUAAUCA
This is a transfer RNA of Smittium mucronatum, 83 nucleotides long. It matches the Rfam family "tRNA". Rfam says of the family: Transfer RNA (tRNA) molecules are approximately 80 nucleotides in length. Their secondary structure includes four short double-helical elements and three loops (D, anti-codon, and T loops). The record is from Rfam. Lineage: Eukaryota; Fungi; Kickxellomycota; Harpellomycetes; Harpellales; Legeriomycetaceae.